UGAGCAAUCUGCCCUUCUCAUCGGAAUAAGCGUGGGAAACCGCGUCUAAUGCCGAAUACGACCUCCUUUCGCAUGAUCGGAGGUGGAAAGCUCCGGCGGAGAAGGAUGAGCUCGCGGCCUAUCAGCUAGUUGGUGUGGGUAAUGGCCCACCAAGGCGACGACGGGUAGCCGGCCUGAGAGGGCGACCGGCCACACUGGGACUGAGACACGGCCCAGACUCCUACGGGAGCAG
Molecule: ribosomal RNA, 232 nt
Filed under: uncultured bacterium
Lineage: Bacteria
Description: partial 16S ribosomal RNA
Rfam family: Bacterial small subunit ribosomal RNA
Source: RNAcentral